Molecule: long non-coding RNA, 550 nt
Filed under: Androctonus crassicauda
Lineage: Eukaryota; Metazoa; Arthropoda; Arachnida; Scorpiones; Buthidae
Source: RNAcentral
AUUUAUUUUCAUUAUUAAAUAUAGUCGGAUAUACUACAAUAAACAAUUUUUAUCAAUAAAAUCUGGAUAUUAUACCCAGUGGCAUACCGAAAGGGGGCGAGGGGUCCAACUAGUUUCUCAAAAAUAAGUAAAGCAUGUUCAAACACCUGUUUAAAUGGUUGCGCUGUAUGGUAAUUUUGCUUUAGACUAUGAGCUUGAAAUGGAUUAUCUUAAAUACUAUACAUAUAUCUCAAUCAAUGCUUGAACAAACAGAUGCUAUAACGAUGAAGUUCCAAUUGUAUGAUUUUUUUUUCCAUAUUUUACGCCCCUUUCCAAUCAGGAGAUUACUAAGGGGCAGACCAGUUCCAACAACGGCCUGCACUACACCCGUGGAACUGAGCCGGAUCGCGGACCCAGCACCCCGAAAAACUUUUCAUGAGUUACCACACCUGGGACGCGAACUCUGGUCCUCCUGAGUGGCACGCCGAUAGCAUUAUUACUCUGCCAUCUACUGUAUUCUUCAUCUUGAGCUUUUCCCAUUUCUAUAUGGGGUCACUGUUUUUGACGAGCU